Momordica charantia (bitter melon) is the source of this 4349-nucleotide long non-coding RNA. RefSeq lists it as uncharacterized. Lineage: Eukaryota; Viridiplantae; Streptophyta; Magnoliopsida; Cucurbitales; Cucurbitaceae. The record is from RefSeq and is a predicted model, not a curated record.
UAGUAUGGUAUCAGAUGUCAAAUUCGUAACUGCUUUCCUGAGGGUUUUUUCUUUAGCAGUUUUCCCAAGAUCAUUUUCUUGAUUUUCCUGCCAUUCUUUUUUCUUGCCAUGGCUGAAGACGAGUUCGUAAACCCUACGGCAACUCAAUCUUCAUCCUCUCAUGCUCAACUUGAGCAAUAUCUUAAUCCAUACUUUCUUCACCAUUCAGAUAACACUAGCCUUGUCCUUGUGUCUGAACUACUCAAUGAUGAGAAUUAUACCACAUGGAGUAGAUCGAUGACUAUUGCACUUACGGUGAAGAACAAAUUUGGAUUUGUCGAUGGCUAACUUCCACGACCUACUGACGAAUCUCUCAAUUCUUGGAUUAUCUGAAACAAUGUAGUUAUAUUCUUGGAUUCUUAAUUCUCUUUCGAAGGAAAUUUCGGCCAGUGUUCUAUUUGCCGAUUUCGCGAGGGAUAUUUGGCUCGAUUUGAAGGAACGCUUCCAUCGGCAAAAUCAUCCUCGAAUCUUUCAGCUUCGUCGUGAUAUUUCUAAUUUAGCAAAAAGACCAGCUAUCUGUUAGUUCGUAUUUCACGAAAUUGAAGACUUUAUGGGCUGAACUUUCUGCUUAUCGCCAAAAUUGUUCCUUUGUGGAGGUGUUAAAUCUCUUCUUGAGUACUUUCAAAUUGAGUACGUCAUGUGCUUUCUUAUGGGACUAAAUGACUAUUUAGUCAAAUUCGGGCUCAGAUGUUGCUUAUGGAACCACCUCCAAUGAUCAAUCGCGUUUUUGCGCUGAUUUCGCAGGAGGUUCAACAGCGUGCUAUUUCAUCAGUUUCUUCUACUUCUGCGCCUUCUUCUGUAGCCUCGAUGACAUUUUUAGUUCGAGGUUCUUCACAAGCUUCGAAUUCCUCGAGUUUUGCUCCAAAUAGAUCGUUCUCUUCGAAUCAGGGCAAACGGAAGGAAAAACCGGUUUGUACUCACUGUGGGCUUUCGGGAUAUACUGUGGAUCAUUGUUACAAGCUCCAUGGUUACCCUCCUGGUUAUCGUACUUCCGACAAUUGGAAUAGUCAGCCACACUCGACUUCCUCUGUUAAGGCUGCUGAAUCCUCUUCGAAGUCUUCUUCUUGUUAUCCCUGAUUCUCUUUCAAAUAUAAGUGCCGACCAGUGCAAAGGAUUAUUGGCCUUUCUUCAGUCUCAUCUUGCAAAGGUCAAAACUGAUUCUGAUCAGAGUACUUCACACGUUGCAGGACAAGUUCUCUUUGAAGACGAUUGGCAAGGGUAGCUAUUAGCAUGGAAUUUAUCUGUUUUCUGCUAUCCCUACCGAUUCUGCUUGUUUUUCCAAUAUUGUAUGUGUUGUUACUCAGUUGCAUUCUGUUAAUAUUUGGCAUAAUAGACUUGGUCAUCCGUCCGUUAAGCAUCUUAAUGCUCUUAAAGAUGUUUUACCGUUAGAUUCAUGUAUAGCUUCGAUGACCCCUGAUUGAUAUGUCCACUGGCAAAACAACGUCGCUUGUCUUUUACUUCGAAUAAUCACAUUGCUGAAUGUUCCUUUGAUCUUAUACAUUGUGAUACUUGGGGGCCUUACCAAUCCCCUACUCAUAGUGGAUACCUGUUUUUUCUUACCAUUGUUGACGAUUUCUCUCGUUUUACAUGGGUUUUCAUGAUGAGAAAGAAGUCGGACGCUCUUACUAUUGUGCCUCAAUUUUUUAAGUAUGUUGAAACCUAAUUUGGAAAGGUGAUUAAGUAAUUUCGAUCAGAUAAUGCUCCAGAAUUAUCUUUUAUUGAGUUUUUUUCUUUCCAAAGGAGUUAUUCAUCAAUAUUCUUGUGUCGAACAUCCUAAACAGAAUUCCGUUGUAGAACGAGAACACCAACACUUGUUAAAUGUUGCCAGAUCCUUAUAUUUUCAGUCUUGUUUGCCUAUUACAUUCGGGAGAGAAUGUAUUCUCAUGGCUGCUUAUUUGAUUAAUCGAACUCCUUCGUCAAUAUUGGGCUGGCAAACUCCUUUUUCUCAGUUAUUUGGUAAAGUGGCUGAAUAUGCUGCUUUACGUACCUUUGGUUGCUUAUGUUUUGCUUCUACCACUUCUUCUCACCAUUCUAAGUUUCAUCCACGGGCUGUUCCUUUUGUUUUUGUUGGGUAUCCUCCAGGAGUUAAGAGAUAUAGAUGGUUUGAUAUUGAAAACAAAAAUUUUAUCUUUCCAGGAAUAUUAUAUUUCAUGAGCACAUCUUCCCUUUUAGUUCAAUAUCAUUGUCCACUGACUCUAUUGACCCAUUCCCGGACAUUGUUUUGCCAAAAGCUUUUGAUUUUGUUGGCAAUCCUACCGUUUCUGACAGUUCACAGCCCGUCACUGCUAUGGCUAGCCCUGUUAUGGAUGUUCGAUCAUCCCCUGAUAUGAACUCUCUUCAUAUGUCUGAUGGUAUUGAUGGUAUUUUGGUCGAUGCUUCCAAUAUGCCAUCUUCUGCUAUUGAUAUUUCACAUACUGAUGGCCAUGUUGAUAUCUCAUCUGAUGUUGUUGUAGAGAAUUCCUUCGUGCCUACUGCUGGCUUGAAUUCUAUUGUGGAUAAUGAUGUUGUGCCCGAUGGAUCUUUGAUUCAAUAACCUCCUGUUCGCAGGUCUCAGCGGGUCUCUCGACUUCCUUCUUACCUUAAGGAUUACCAUUGCAAUUUGCUUACUUUAGCCCCUUUGCCUUCUAUUUAGUCUCGGUAUCCUUUGCACAGAUUUUUGUCCUAUGACAAAUUGUCACCGACUUACAAGAACUUUAUUUUGAACAUAUCUACUAAUUUUGAGCCUCAGUUUUAUCACCAGGUCGUUCCCUUUUCUCAUUGGCGUGAUGACAUGCAUGUUGAGUUACACGUCAUGGAAGCAAACCAUAGUUGGUUCGUUGUCCCUUUACCUUCUGAACAUCAUUCUAUUGGCUGCAAAUGGGUGUACAAGAUCAAGUAUCAUUCGUUAUAAGGCUCGACUUGUUGCAAAUGGGUACACUCAACAGGAAGGCCUUGACUAUAUCAAGGCGUUCUCUCCCGUUUCCAAGCUUGUUAGUGUCAAAGUUUUGCUUACCAUCACUGUCUCUUUGAAUUGGCCAUUGGUGCAGCUAGACAUUAACAAUGCUUUUUUGAAUGGCGAUCUUUUUGAGGAGGUAUAUAUGGAUUUGCCGUUAGGCUACAAGCACAAUGUUGUUGCUUCUCAGGGGGAGCGUUUAGUAUGUCGGCUUCAUAAGUCCAUUUACGGUGUUAUACAAGCAUCCUGACAGUGGUUUGACAAAUUUUCGCAUACUUUACUGCAGCUGGGCUUCAAGCAAGCAAAAUCAGAUUAUUCCCUUUUUGUCAAAGGGUCUGGUGAUUCAUUUUUGGCUCUAGAUGAUAUAAUAAUCACUGGUGCUUCUCUAUCUGCUAUUGAUGUUUUAAAAACUCACUUUCAUACUAUCUUUAAGUUGAAGGAUUUGAGUUCUUUGAAGUACUUUUUGGGAUUGAAGUUGGCUCGUUCCUCUGCUGGAAUUUUUAUGUCUCAGCGCAAAUACACGAUUCAGUUGCUUGAAGACACCGAUUUCUUGGCUUGUAAACCGACUAAUUUGCCCAUGGAUCCACAUCUCAAAUUAAGUGCUUUUGAUGGUUUUUUAUUGGUUGAUCCUUCUGUUUAUAAGUGUCUUAUUGGUCGUCUUUUGUACCUCACCGUAUCGAGGCCUGAUAUCACGUUUGCUGUUCACAAACUGAGUCAAUUUGUGUCUCAACCGCGAUAGCCACAUCUUAAUGCAGUUCAUUAUCUCUUACGAUUUCUAAAAUCUUCUCUUAGUCAGGGUACUAUGCUGUAGCGGGCUUCCUCUUUUCAACUUCGGGCUUUUGCCGAUGUUGCUUGGGCUUCUUGUUUGGAUUCUCGAAAGUCUACCACUGGUUUUUGUGUUUUCCUUGGCGAUUCUCUGGUUUCUUGGAAAGCGAAGAAACAGAACACUGUGUCUCGGUCUUCUGUUGAGGCUGAAUAUCAGGCCCUUGCUGCAACUACAGGAGAGCUUGUUUGGUUGUUCAAUCUUUUGGCUGAUUUACAGGUUUCUACAUAGUCUCCUGCUCUUUUCUUUUGUGAUAAUCAAGCUGCCAUAUACAUUGCCACCAAUCCUAUUUUUCACGAACGAACGGAACAUAUUGAGCUCGAUUGUCAUUUCGUGCGAGAGAAGAUUUAUGCUGGCAUCAUUCGAUUGCUUCCUAUUCGGACCAAUUUUUAGCUUGCAGAUAUUUGUACUAAAGCUCUUCCUUACCCUGCCUUUUCUUCCCAGAUGGGAGUUUCAAAUAUUCUCCUUCCAUCUUGAGGGAGAGCAUUAGGAUUAGUUACUUGAGUUAUUAUAUGGCCUCUUCACUUGAUUAAUGUUAAGGCAAGUAUUAAGUUA